AACGAACGUUGGCGGCGUGGAUUAGGCAUGCAAGUCGAACGCGAAUCCCUGGGCAACUGGGGAGGAGAGUGGCGAAAGGGGCAGUAAGGCGUGGGUAACCUACCCUCCGGGCCGGGAUAGCUUCGGGAAACUGAAGGUAAUACCGGGCGACGCAGCGAGAUCGCAUGGUCUUGCUGCCAAAGGUCCGCCGCCGGGGGAGGGGCUCACGUGGUAUUAGCUAGACGGCGGGGUAACGGCCCACCGUGGCAAAGAUGCCUAGCAGGUGUGAGAGCACGACCUGCGCCACUGGCACUGAGACACGGGCCAGACACCUACGGGUGGCUGCAGUCGAGGAUCUUCGGCAAUGGGCGCAAGCCUGACCGAGCGACGCCGCGUGUGCGAUGAAGGCCUUCGGGUUGUAAAGCACUGUCGAGGGGGAGGAAGCCGCAAGGUUGACCUAUCCCUGGAGGAAGCACGGGCUAAGUUCGUG
RNAcentral lists this ribosomal RNA (469 nucleotides) under uncultured bacterium. RNAcentral describes it as "partial 16S ribosomal RNA". It matches the Rfam family "Bacterial small subunit ribosomal RNA", at positions 28 to 507 of the family's 1533-position model. The record is from RNAcentral.